This is a long non-coding RNA of Gymnogyps californianus (California condor), 2044 nucleotides long. RefSeq lists it as uncharacterized. Lineage: Eukaryota; Metazoa; Chordata; Aves; Accipitriformes; Cathartidae. The record is from RefSeq and is a predicted model, not a curated record. The transcript has 5 exons.
CUUCAUUUCUUCAUAUGAAGAUUUUUGAUAGUGAUAAAGGUGGAAAAGCCUGCGUCCUCCUAGAUAGGCUUCAUGGAUGCUCCACGUAAAGCUCACAGGCUGUGAAUGACCAGAUUACUUGCAGCAGUCUGUUAACUCAUCUUAUUACUAGAUCAUGAAUCUUCUAGCUGACGCCUUGAGUGAUGAGGAGGUGUUGUGAUGAUUUGUAUCUAUUUUGCUGUUUUAUAUUACUGUGCCUCCUGUGAAAUGAAUUAUAAUGCCAAAUCAUUGAGGAAAUAAGAUUUAAGGGAGGCUUUGCGACAUGAGUGCAAUAUUUCAGAAAAUGUAAUUAGGAAAUAUUUAGAGGAGCAAGACACCUUAAUAACUGUCUUCAGUGGAACUGAGAGUAUCUGGAUCCCCUUGAAGAAAAUGAACUCUCAGCAUUUAUCCUUGCUAUGCCUGUAACAUAAAGCAACCAUAUUUCAAAAACAAGGAACAGAAGAGGAGAAUGAAUGGCGGGAGCAGUGGCAGGAGCCGUCAGGUGUGUGCUAAAGGGUCUGUAGGAGCGGUUUGUGCCCACAGGUCAGAUUUUUGCAAGGGCUCCCAUUUUACAAACACAACCUUUCUGUUCAUCGAGCUACAGCGCCGGAAUAACCUAGCUGGCAACUCUUCAGACCGAAAUCUGGGAUUGCUGUAACAAUUGCUCAUUUGCAAGGCCGCUCUUCCCAGCAGCGAAGCCUCCCGGGCGCCGAGCUGCAUCCCCCUCUGCCAGCUUUUCCUCUCCAGUAAAGGGGCAUCAAGGGCUCCUUUCCGUAGAAAACACGAAGACCGAAGUGAAGCUGGAAAUGUUUCACUGCUUUUGCCAUCUUGUGUAUCCAGAUCUCAUUUUCUAGAGCAGAAGACAUCCCUUUCUAGACUGCCUGGGGAAUCCUUGCCUCUGCUCAGUGUGACCCUUUGCAGUGACUGCAACUGAAAUAAACACUGGGAAAUUAUAACGUGGCAGAGAAUCAACGAAACACGUCAGAGGAUGCGGUAGCGUAUAGUGUGGGUCCAAACCAAGCAUGCUUUGGUAGGCUUGCAUCCCUGCUUCUAAGGGGUUGGCAGUUCGUAACGUAAAAUAGGCUAUAAAUGCUCCAUUAAUGCUUCCCAUCGCUGCCAGCCCUGUGGGACUUCUCAAGGUCUCCGUUGCAUGAGCUGUCAGCUCUCCCUAAAACCCGAGCUCCCUGGAUGGCUGAGCGUACCUGAGUAGUUACGUAUGGCACUGUGCCGGCGGCGGAUGCUGACAAACCUAGGCUGUCCCUCCCCACCUGCCCUCCUCCAUAAGAACCGGGUUUUUUUUCCCCCCUCGGACAGUGCCGAUUGCCAGAUGCUGCAUCUACAAGCACGACAGCUAUUUUCUCCUCUAACAGCUGGGCUGAGUACCAAAAGCCCUUAACAGAUGUGUCUGCAUCUAAAGGAAACGUGAAUACGGAGAAGUCAGGCUAUGUCAAUAAGACUAAAUGUAAUGAGCCUUUCUAAUGAAUGUCUUCAGAGUGUUAAAUUAGGCUCCUAAGUGCAGGCUGGGUUAGAUGGUUCAUGCCAGAUCGUAUUUGUGAGGUGUUCAGCACUAACACGUUGCGGAAGGCCCGGGUGUUGCUAGAUGGGAUGUACACACAGCUCCUCCUGGGUGCUUCCAGCAGCUGGGUGCCUUGCGCUUGCUGCCUGGCAGCUCUCAGGAUGCCCCGCUGCCUGUUUGAGGUGUGUAGCAACAGUACAUCUAUCUUGUUACAUUAAUUAACGAGGUAAUAAAAUUACUUAUUUCAGGACGUGGUUAUUGCUCCUUGUGUGUGUAACUCUUAAACAAAGCCAAACCCCUGAGCUGUUCUGGAAGCAAAAUCGUAUGGUGAAGGUCCCAGCCACGCAAGGCUGAUUUGGUGAAUACACCGAUAAUUAUACAGUUGGUAAUUUUUUUGUGUCAAAGCGUAGUACCUCAAUGUGUCUUAAUCUGCGUAUACCUAUUGUUUUGGAUUUCUUGUAUUUAUUUCACCAUUUUGUGACCAAAAAUCAAAUACAGAUGCAAAUUUGA